Molecule: transfer RNA, 86 nt
Filed under: Fibrobacterota bacterium
Lineage: Bacteria; Pseudomonadati; Fibrobacterota
Description: Fibrobacteres bacterium (aquatic metagenome) tRNA-Leu
Rfam family: tRNA
About the family: Transfer RNA (tRNA) molecules are approximately 80 nucleotides in length.
Source: RNAcentral
GCGGUCGUGGUGAAAUGGUAGACACGCAAGUUUGAGGUGCUUGUGGGGGCGACCCUGUGACGGUUCAAGUCCGUCCGACCGCACCA